This 1485-nucleotide small RNA is filed under the name Arabidopsis thaliana (thale cress). Its description in RNAcentral is "ATSL153660". The record is from RNAcentral. Lineage: Eukaryota; Viridiplantae; Streptophyta; Magnoliopsida; Brassicales; Brassicaceae.
AAAUGUUGAAUGACUAUUCAUCUCAUUUUUUUCCAUUUGAAAUGAUUAGGUUGGAAAAUUGAUUCAACCCAUUCGAGUAAAAAAAAUUGAAAAAAUAAACAAAUUUUAAAGGAAAAUUGUUCAACCCUUUCGUCUACUAUUUUGCAGAGGAAUGAGUUAAAUAAUGUUCAACUUUGUUUUGUUCAACUCAAAAUUUUCCAAUCAUUCAACUAUAUGUCAUCCAUUUGGAGCCAUUAUGUUAUUGGUUCAUGACUUUUUACAUUUUUCUUCAUAAAAUAAAGACAUAGAAAAUCAUGAAAAGUAUUAUCGAAAUAAAGAGAUUAUUUGAAAAACUUUACAAGAUUAUGAAAAACUAAUCAACAAGAUUAUAAAAAACUCUCUAAUAAUACUUUAGAAUCUUUCAUUUAUUUACUUUUUAGGAUUUGAUUGAGGGUAUCAAAAUUCCUUGUAAACUAGGAACUGAUAACACCUCCUUAAUCAUAAGUUUAGAUAACAAAUAAAAAAUAUGAAAUAUAAUUAUGUUUUAUUUUAAUUAAUUUUAGGAGAUAUAUGAUGGAUCAUAGGCUCUUACAUUGAAAUAUAUUCUCAAUGUGGCUACAAAAUUACUAUGAACAAGGCUACUGUGGUGACGACUAUAAUUUGAGAGGAGAAAUAAUCUUUGGGGAUGUUGAUCAGAAUCACUUUGUCGAUGAGCAUAUAUACUUCAACCUCAUUGAAGGUAAUAGAUGGAUCAAAUGGAUGCCUUCCAGCCAAGUCGACGGAUAUCAUGGUAAUAAUUAAUUACAAGAAUGAGUGUAUCUAUAUAUGUGUGUUUUUAGUACAUGAGAUUUACUUCUUUUUUACUCUUUUUUUUCUAGGAUCACUCACCCAUAAAGCUUUAAUCUAUACAUAAUGUCUGCAUAUAUACGGUCCUCCGGUUAGUAAAGGAUUUAAUUUUGUUUUAUUUUUAUUAUGUAUCAAAUACUCUUUACUAAUGCAAUUUAUCAUUUCUAUUUAUAUAUGUAGCUCAUUAUCCGAGAAAUUAAUUCUCAAAUUUGUGACAUGUAAGUUUUAUUUACAACAUUUUAUUGUUAUUUGUUGUUUUAUGUUAACGUAACACUUUAUCUUUUUUUUUUUUUCUCUUUUCUAAUCAUAGGCACCCCUUAUGCAAAGGAUGAUAUUUACAAAUAACGAAGUGGCAGCGGCGGUAGCAAAUUAUUUGCCCGAUGUACAUUUUUAUUUCACUGCGGAGGAUUAUCUCUUCAUCUCGUCAUGUCAAGUACGUUUUGUUUCGUAAAUUACUUAUCAAUUAAAUGUAUAUAUCAAUUUUCUAUUCUAAUGCACAUUUAAAUAUAUAAAAAUAUAGUAUAUCAUCCAAGUUGGAUACGUUUACGGAUCCUCGAGUAUUUUUGGACCUGUGUAUUUUCCACAUGAAAUUCCCGGAUAUUUAUAUGUUUAGUUGUAUAUUUUUUUAUAUAUUAUAUAAAUAAACUAUUAGUAACAUUA